RNAcentral lists this transfer RNA (67 nucleotides) under Nesophrosyne sp. 242 GMB-2012. RNAcentral describes it as "tRNA-Met". The record is from RNAcentral. Lineage: Eukaryota; Metazoa; Arthropoda; Insecta; Hemiptera; Cicadellidae.
AAAAAGAUAAGCUAAACGAAGCUAUUAGGUUCAUACCCUAAACAUAGAAUUAAUAUUCUUCUUUUUA